ACACAAGCGUGGCGCGUGCUAUACAUGCAGUCGAGCGGACAGAUGGGAGCUUGCUCCCUGAUGUUAGCGGCGGACGGGUGAGUAACACGUGGGUAACCUGCCUGUAAGACUGGGAUAACUCCGGGAAACCGGGGCUAAUACCGGAUGCUUGUUUGAACCGCAUGGUUCAAACAUAAAAGGUGGCUUCGGCUACCACUUACAGAUGGACCCGCGGCGCAUUAGCUAGUUGGUGAGGUAACGGCUCACCAAGGCAACGAUGCGUAGCCGACCUGAGAGGGUGAUCGGCCACACUGGGACUGAGACACGGCCCAGACUCCUACGGGAGGCAGCAGUAGGGAAUCUUCCGCAAUGGACGAAAGUCUGACGGAGCAACGCCGCGUGAGUGAUGAAGGUUUUCGGAUCGUAAAGCUCUGUUGUUAGGGAAGAACAAGUACCGUUCGAAUAGGGCGGUACCUUGACGGUACCUAACCAGAAAGCCACGGCUAACUACGUGCCAGCAGCCGCGGUAAUACGUAGGUGGCAAGCGUUGUCCGGAAUUAUUGGGCGUAAAGGGCUCGCAGGCGGUUCCUUAAGUCUGAUGUGAAAGCCCCCGGCUCAACCGGGGAGGGUCAUUGGAAACUGGGGAACUUGAGUGCAGAAGAGGAGAGUGGAAUUCCACGUGUAGCGGUGAAAUGCGUAGAGAUGUGGAGGAACACCAGUGGCGAAGGCGACUCUCUGGUCUGUAACUGACGCUGAGGAGCGAAAGCGUGGGGAGCGAACAGGAUUAGAUACCCUGGUAGUCCACGCCGUAAACGAUGAGUGCUAAGUGUUAGGGGGUUUCCGCCCCUUAGUGCUGCAGCUAACGCAUUAAGCACUCCGCCUGGGGAGUACGGUCGCAAGACUGAAACUCAAAGGAAUUGACGGGGGCCCGCACAAGCGGUGGAGCAUGUGGUUUAAUUCGAAGCAACGCGAAGAACCUUACCAGGUCUUGACAUCCUCUGACAAUCCUAGAGAUAGGACGUCCCCUUCGGGGGCAGAGUGACAGGUGGUGCAUGGUUGUCGUCAGCUCGUGUCGUGAGAUGUUGGGUUAAGUCCCGCAACGAGCGCAACCCUUGAUUUUAGUUGCCAGCAUUCAGUUGGGCACUCUAAGGUGACUGCCGGUGACAAACCGGAGGAAGGUGGGGAUGACGUCAAAUCAUCAUGCCCCUUAUGACCUGGGCUACACACGUGCUACAAUGGACAGAACAAAGGGCAGCGAAACCGCGAGGUUAAGCCAAUCCCACAAAUCUGUUCUCAGUUCGGAUCGCAGUCUGCAACUCGACUGCGUGAAGCUGGAAUCGCUAGUAAUCGCGGAUCAGCAUGCCGCGGUAUCGCUUACCCU
This 1360-nucleotide ribosomal RNA is filed under the name uncultured Bacillus sp. RNAcentral describes it as "bacterial SSU rRNA". It matches the Rfam family "Bacterial small subunit ribosomal RNA", at positions 29 to 1376 of the family's 1533-position model. The record is from RNAcentral. Lineage: Bacteria; Bacillati; Bacillota; Bacilli; Caryophanales; Bacillaceae.